AUGGCCCCGGCUGCACGGGUGGUGCGGGCGCUGUGGCCUGGCGGGUGUGCCUUGUCCUGGAGGCUGGGCGGCCGCCCCCAGCCGCUGCUCCCCACGCAAAGCCGGGCUGGCUUCGCGGGGGCGGCGGGCGGCCCGCGCGCCGUGGCUGCAGCUCGUAAGGGGAGCCCGCGGCUGCUGGGGGCGGCGGCGCUGGCCCUGGGGGGAGCCCUGGGGCUGUACCACACGGCGCGGUGGCACCUGCGCGCCCAGGACCUCCACGCAGAGCGCUCAGCCGGGCAGCUCUCCCUGUCCAGCCGCCUGCAGCUGACCCUGUACCAGUACAAGACUUGUCCCUUCUGCAGCAAGGUCCGAGCCUUCCUCGACUUCCACGCCCUGCCCUACCAGGUGGUGGAGGUGAACCCUGUGCGCAGGGCUGAGAUCAAGUUCUCCUCCUACAGAAAGGUGCCCAUCCUGGUGGCCCAGGAAGGAGAAAGCUUGGGACAGCAGAUAUGAAAUGCCUGGCACAGUGCUUGGGGUCUAGUAUGUAGCUUCCAGAACCCACCCUGCCCCUCUACCUGGGAGGCCAAAUGGCAACAACUGAACGACUCCUCUGUCAUCAUCAGUGCCCUCAAGACCUACCUGGUGUCGGGGCAGCCCCUGGAAGAGAUCAUCACCUACUACCCAGCCAUGAAGGCUGUGAACGACCAGGGCAGGGAGGUGACCGAGUUCGGCAAUAAGUACUGGCUCAUGCUCAACGAGAAGGAGGCCCAGCAAGUGUAUGGCGGGAAGGAGGCCAGGACGGAGGAGAUGAAGUGGCGGCAGUGGGCGGACGACUGGCUGGUGCACCUGAUCUCCCCCAAUGUGUACCGCACGCCCACCGAGGCUCUGGCGUCCUUUGACUACAUUGUCCGCGAGGGCAAGUUCGGAGCCGUGGAGGGCGCCGUGGCCAAGUACAUGGGUGCAGCAGCCAUGUACCUCAUCAGCAAGCGACUCAAGAGCAGGCAAGUGUGUGUGCACAUCCAGGGCAUGCUGUCCCCGAGCCUCCAGUGCCACGAGCAGUGGUGAUCCCAUCACACCCCUCAGGAGACCAGCGGGAGGCUGAGGCCUAGGGCGGGUGGGAAACGCGUUAUGGAUUAUGGGUCCCUUGACCAAGACGGGACUUGGACGCAGAGCUCCUGCUCACCUCCCCCGCGGACAGCAGGGCUGGCCUUGAAGCUAGAAGCCUGGGCCCUGACUGGCACCUUCUCUGCGGUUUUCUCCCUGGCCUGGUCUCUUGCCCUUGCCACAGCCUCCCUGUCUGGGACAGAUGCUCCCUGAGGCGUCUGCAGAUGUGAUGCUCUCACCUGGGGUGCCGUCCUGGCUUCCACACCUCCCCGCUCUCCCCAGAGGAGACCCUCUUCCCUGCUGGGCUGGGAGUGGGGGCUCCCCUGAGGGGCUUUUCCCUUCCCCGCCCAGGCACCGCCUCCAGGACAAUGUGCGCGAGGACCUCUAUGAGGCUGCCGACAAGUGGGUGGCUGCUGUGGGCAAGGACCGGCCCUUCAUGGGGGGCCAGAAGCCGAAUCUCGCCGAUUUGGCGGUGUAUGGCGUGCUGCGUGUGAUGGAGGGGCUGGAUGCAUUCGAUGACCUGAUGCAGCACACGCACAUCCAGCCCUGGUACCUGCGGGUGGAGAGGGCCAUCACCGAGGCAUCCCUGGCGCACUGAAUGUCCCCGCGCAGAGCGGGGGGAAGGCAGCAGAAGACGCCAGCUGCCAGGGCCUGGGGCCACUGGGCCAGCGCCUGGCGAUACUGGUGGGGGGCAGGAUCAUUCUGCCCCUUGUCCACCCACUCCCCCAGCCCUCUUACUUCUAACACAGGGCACCUGCUGGGGCUCAGGGAUGUUAGGGACGAGUUCCAGCCCUGCCACUGCCCUGGGGCGACCCCUCCCUGUCCCUGCCUCCCUGCUCUGCCACCCCUCUCCCUGGACCCUCAGUGGCUGUCCCAUGGCUACAUCCUGUGGGUGGGGGGCCUCGACAGGACGGCAGGACGCUUCAUUUUCAGUGGAAUCCCAUCCCUGGGUUCCCCUGGUUCCCACUCUUCCCAAGCCUCCCGGGACUGGGACGUGUUUGCAAUAAAGGAAAGGUCUG
This 2102-nucleotide small RNA is filed under the name Pongo abelii (Sumatran orangutan). Its description in RNAcentral is "retained intron". The record is from RNAcentral. Lineage: Eukaryota; Metazoa; Chordata; Mammalia; Primates; Hominidae.